Molecule: non-coding RNA, 29 nt
Filed under: Mus musculus (house mouse)
Lineage: Eukaryota; Metazoa; Chordata; Mammalia; Rodentia; Muridae
Source: RNAcentral
UCCAGAAGCUGUCAGGUUCUCUGGCGCAC